CCUCCGGGAAAUCUGAUAGCUCAACUAUUAGGGCUUUCGGGGGAUACUGCCAGACUGGAACCGGGAGAGGUAAGAGGUACUACAGGGGUAGGAGUGAAAUCUUGUAAUCCCUGUGGGACCACCUGUGGCGAAGGCGUCUUACCAGAACGGGUUCGACGGUGAGGGACGAAAGCUGGGGGCACGAACCGGAUUAGAUACCCGGGUAGUCCCAGCCGUAAACGAUGCUCGCUAGGUGUCAGGCAUGGCGCGACCGUGUCUGGUGCCGCAGGGAAGCCGUGAAGCGAGCCACCUGGGAAGUACGGCCGCAAGGCUGAAACUUAAAGGAAUUGGCGGGGGAGCACAACAACGGGUGGAGACCCUGCGGUUUAAUUGGACUCAACGCCGGACAACUCACCGGGGGCGACAGCAAUAUGUAGGCCAAGCUGAAGACUUUGCCUGAAUCGCUGAGAAGUGGUGCAUGG
This 461-nucleotide ribosomal RNA is filed under the name uncultured archaeon. RNAcentral's name for it is "bacterial SSU rRNA". It matches the Rfam family "Archaeal small subunit ribosomal RNA", at positions 539 to 997 of the family's 1478-position model. The record is from RNAcentral.